UCAGUCAGGACACUGCCCCGGACAUUGUCCUGUGACUCCAUGACUGUCCCGGGACAGUCAGACACUGUCCUGUGACUCCAUGGAGUCAUGGAGUCACAGGACAGUGUCUUGGAGGCACAGGACAGUGUACAGGACAGUGUACAGUCAUGGGACAGUCUUCAGGACCCUACUAACAGGACAGGACAGUUUUUGCUCCCACUGUUUCU
Molecule: long non-coding RNA, 206 nt
Organism: Etheostoma cragini (Arkansas darter)
Lineage: Eukaryota; Metazoa; Chordata; Actinopteri; Perciformes; Percidae
Exons: 3
Source: RefSeq, a predicted model, not a curated record